Long non-coding RNA from Girardinichthys multiradiatus, 955 nucleotides. RefSeq lists it as uncharacterized. Lineage: Eukaryota; Metazoa; Chordata; Actinopteri; Cyprinodontiformes; Goodeidae. The transcript has 3 exons. The record is from RefSeq and is a predicted model, not a curated record.
GUCGUUAUGUCUCUUUGGAUUUCGUUCUUGCUCUGGAUCCUGUUAAGUUCUAGUUUGAAAUUGCUUUGUAAUCUGGAUUAUCCUGUCAUCCAGCACCUCGCCUGCAUCAGGAGGUGAUGAUUUCAGCGGAGCGUUGGAGGGAUGACAGGCAGGUGAGUGGUGUUGGUCAAGUAUGGUGGAGUUCAAACAGCAGACCCAGGGGAGAAGCCAGACGAGACUCAGAGGGAUUUUCAGAAUAUGUUCUUCCAAGAACUCUGAGGACUAGGAGGCAGUGAAACCAUGGACUGGAGACAAGGAUAUCUCCAACGGAGGGCAUAAGGAGGCUAAAACCAGAAGCAUCCACUUCCUCAUAAAAUCACCCGGGGAGCUUUCACAACUCGAUUUUCCAUCCUGUCCGGUUCUUCCUCAGCGGUGCUGUACAUCCUUGUCAACACGCUGAAGAAGAGAAAGUGCUUCUUCAUCACACAAGAGCCAAACAGGAAGCUACAAUUUACCUCAAUAUGUGCAGCUACUUUUAUACUACUAAAAGAAAUUUAAUGUAAAUCACCUUUGCUUCUUCACAUCAUAAAGUAUUUUUUUUUUUUUUUUUUUUGUAUAAUGAGAAGGAUAACAUAAGUCAUCUCUGUCCUGGGACAUGCAGCCAUUGGACAUGGGGUGCAAUUCAAGCUAUGAGAAAAAAAACUAGCCGGUUUGUGGGUUACCAUGGACCGCGUUUGUGCUAAUUUGAUGCUGCUGUUGAUAUUUUUCUUUAUUUAAAAUGCUUUGCGGGGAAUUUUGUUUUAAACUAUUAAAUAAGGAUUCUUUAUUUAUUUAAAGAAAAAAUUAAUUUCCAGUUUUCAGUGCCGCAGGUGUUCACAUACACAUCUUGAAAGAUUUCUGAAAAUAUGAUGAACAAAACACACAGAAUAAAGUAAUGCUUGUGAAAGGAUUUUUUUAAAUCUGCAAAAAUAGUAGA